UAGGGAAUCUUGCCACAAUGGACGCAAGUCUGAUGGAGCAACGCCGCGUGAGUGAAGAAGGUUUUCGGACCGUAAAGCUCUGUUGUUGGUGAAGAAGGAUAGAGGUAGUAACUGGCCUUUAUUUGACGGUAAUCAACCAGAAAGUCACGGCUAGCUACGUGCCAGCAGCCGCGGUAAAUACGUAGGUGGCAAGCGUUGUCCGGAUUUAUUGGGCGUAAAGCGAGCGCAGGCGGAAGAAUAAGUCUGAUGUGAAAGCCCUCGGCUUAACCGAGGAAUUGCAUCGGAAACUGUUUUUCUUGAGUGCAGAAGAGGAGAGUAGAACUCCAUGUGUAGCGGUGGAAUGCGUAGAUAUAUGGAAGAAUACCAGUGGCGAAGGCGGCUCUCUGGUCUGCAACUGACGCUGAGGCUCGAAAGCAUGGGUAGCGAACAGGAUUAGAUACCCUGGUAGUCCAUGCCGUAAACGAUGAGUGCUAAGUGUUGGGAGGCUUCCGCCUCUCAGUGCUGCAGCUAACGCAUUAAGCACUCCGCCUGGGGGAGUACGACCGCAAGGUUGA
Molecule: ribosomal RNA, 554 nt
Filed under: uncultured bacterium
Lineage: Bacteria
Description: partial 16S ribosomal RNA
Rfam family: Bacterial small subunit ribosomal RNA
Source: RNAcentral